UGCAUCUCUGACGUGUGUCUAAACAUCGCCGUUUGACCGCAACCAAUGAGCUGCUAGAGAGACAUUUUCCACUGGCGUGGACCAAUCAGAUUACAGAACACACGAGCGCAUGAAAGAUCUUCAGCAGCACGAGCCGCUCAGCACCAGUGUCUGAGAUGGAGACAUCAAGAGUCGCUCUCAUCGCUCUCGUGUGUGUUGUGUUCUCCGGUCAGAAGAGGAUCUCUGGAGCAGAAGUGGAGACGAGAGUCAGACGAGGAGACGACGUCACUCUCUACUCCGACUGUGUUUGGAAAAGUGGAUUUUAUCCAGUGUGGUUCAGAAACUGCUCACAUCAGGAUCAACCUCGUCUGAUGAUCUCAUUUCAAGAUUUGCUGCAUGGUCCUUUUCCACGUCACUCGUUUGUGUUUAAUGUCUCCACCAACGUACACGAUCUGCUGAUUAAGAACGUCACAGAAUCAGAUGUGGGCGUGUACUACUGCGCUGUGAGAGAAAACAAUAUUACAAAGGAUAAAGACGGCGUGAUAAUCAGCACUGCAGUGUUUCAUUAUGGGAACAGAUGGACUCGACUCUCUGUACUCGAAGCCUCUCCCGGGGUUACUGUCUCUCCGAACACCCCGACCCCGUGUGUAUCAGAGUGGAGUGUUAGCUGGAAGCUGGUGUUGGGUGUGUGUGCUGUGUGUGUUCUCCUCUCCUCACUCCUCUCCUCCAUCUGUGUGUACUGCCUCUGCACAAACACCACUAAAGGUACUCACACACUCGCUCUGAUCUCUAACACACUAAAGGUACUCACACACUCGCUCUGAUCUCUAACACACUAAAG
Molecule: long non-coding RNA, 820 nt
Organism: Ictalurus punctatus (channel catfish)
Lineage: Eukaryota; Metazoa; Chordata; Actinopteri; Siluriformes; Ictaluridae
Source: Ensembl